Molecule: ribosomal RNA, 493 nt
Filed under: uncultured bacterium
Lineage: Bacteria
Description: bacterial SSU rRNA
Rfam family: Bacterial small subunit ribosomal RNA
Source: RNAcentral
GAUGAACGCUAGCUACAGGCUUAACACAUGCAAGUCGAGGGGAAACGACAUCGAAAGCUUGCUUUUGAUGGGCGUCGACCGGCGCACGGGUGAGUAACGCGUAUCCAACCUGCCCACCACUUGGGGAUAACCUUGCGAAAGUAAGACUAAUACCCGAUGAUAUCCCUAGAAGACAUCUGAAAGGGAUUAAAGAUUUAUCGGUGAUGGAUGGGGAUGCGUCUGAUUAGCUUGUUGGCGGGGUAACGGCCCACCAAGGCUACGAUCAGUAGGGGUUCUGAGAGGAAGGUCCCCCCACAUUGGAACUGAGACACGGUCCAAACUCCUACGGGAGGCAGCAGUGAGGAAUAUUGGUCAAUGGGCGAGAGCCUGAACCAGCCAAGUAGCGUGCAGGAUGACGGCCCUAUGGGUUGUAAACUGCUUUUAUAAGGGAAUAAAGUGAGUCUCGUGAGACUUUUUGCAUGUACCUUAUGAAUAAGGACCGGCUAAUUCCGUG